ACGCUCGACACCUACGGGAGGUAGCAGUUGGGAAUAUUGGACAAUGGAGGAAACUCUGAUCCAGUGACGCCGCGUGAAGGAAGAAGGUCUUCGGAUUGUAAACUUAUUUUGUCAGGGAAGAAAAAUGACUGUACCUGAAGAAAAAGCACCGGCUAACUACGUGCCGGCAGCCGCAAGUAAUCUGAGGCGGGCGUGGACAAGGC
RNAcentral lists this ribosomal RNA (203 nucleotides) under uncultured bacterium. Its description in RNAcentral is "partial 16S ribosomal RNA". It matches the Rfam family "Bacterial small subunit ribosomal RNA", at positions 328 to 538 of the family's 1533-position model. The record is from RNAcentral.